RNAcentral lists this long non-coding RNA (3111 nucleotides) under Homo sapiens (human). Its description in RNAcentral is "HSALNT0032921". Lineage: Eukaryota; Metazoa; Chordata; Mammalia; Primates; Hominidae. The record is from RNAcentral.
GUAAGCACAUCAAAGCCAUUAAAGCAUAAACCCCCAGAUUUAAAAACGUGAGAGGCGAAAGAUUAUGUAGCAUGGUCUGGCGGCUUUAUAGAACCCGUUUCAAAUGAGGUAUAGAACAAAAGAAUGUGUGAUUGAAGCUCUUGAAGAGAUUUAUUUCAGGAGAGAGGCAAACAUUUUGCUCUGAUACCAAUUAACCAGGAGAAAGCACCACGUCAUAAAUGCCAAUAUUAAAAAUGUAAAUCCUACACCCGAGGGUGUAUUGAAGACAGGUCAAAAUUCUUUGAAGAUGGAAUGCAUAAAGAGAUAACAGGAAGAGAGCCUUCCAGCUGCUCAGGCUACCUGUUUAGUUCUGUGUCCUGUCUGCUGAUGAGAUUUUCCACGGGGAAGCGGGCUCUUGUUUGGGGUGGUUUGGCUACUUGACCUAUUAUGCGGGAUUUAGAUCUCCUUCAAGAGAAUUUAUUAUGGGAACUCUAGAAGAUCUUGUUUAUAAUACUCCUUUAUCUGUAAUGACUUGGAGAUGUUCCAGGGUUUUUCUAGCAUAGUUUGGAUAGCAUAGUUCACAUAAUGGAUGUGUAAAGGUAUUUACAAAAUGCAGAGUGAAAACCAUCAAGUGCUAUGUAUAGCACUUUUAUGCCUUUUAAAGUAUGUUUACUUCCAUUAACUUGGUUGUUCCUCUCCAUAAUUCUGUGCAAAAGGAAAGGCAUACAGAGUCAUAGUCUUUAGAGCUUGGGAUGAAUUUAGGAUGAUUUAACCCAGCCCUUUCAUAGUAGAAAAGAGGCCCAGGGAAGUUGAGAGAUUUCAUCCCCAUUAGCCUCUUGGGGAAACUAAGCAAGGAGAGAUUUAAGCUUCUUGGCCACCAAAAGCAUUGCAUGUUGAAUCCUGGAUUUCUGUCAUUGGUAAUAAGGCAGCCCAGUCUUCUGGGAAAGGAAAUACACAAAAAAGUCAAACAAAAAGGUUGUCUGGAAUAGAGAUGUCUGUUGCUACAAAAAUAUUCAACUUCUUGUCACUGAACCAGGAUAAUAAAUCUCUUUACCUUCUGUAUUUUGGUGCAUUGAAACAUUAUCUUUUAUGAUCAUAGGUGUUGCUUCAUUAUUUAAAGCAUACUUGUUAUUGCAGGAAAGACAAGCUUGCAUUUGAUUUAUAAUGGAACCAUUGUGCUUUGAGUUAAAUGAAAGUUCAAAGGAAAAUGAAUUCUAAAUAAGAAUAAUUGAAGAGAUUCAAGGUUCAUUUGAGUUUAUAUUCAUCAAGGCAAUUGUCUCCGAAAUCCUCUUAUUUAAAGCAACAGGACAGAUCGUAACUUACAAACUUCGCCUUUAUGACAUCACUUCAUUCUAUAUAUCAUAAUCAGAAAUGUUAAGCCUCAGCAGUAAUUUAUACAAAAUGUAUUGUUACAGAGUUAUAAAUGUCAUUAAGUGGUAGACUUAUGCCUCAGUGUCAUGCAAGUUGAAUCUUGGAUUUAAAAAAAUUACCCAUAAUGCAAGUAUUCUAUAAAAAUAUUCUUAGUACUCUCUCCUCCACUGCAGCCUCAUAUUAAAAGUUCAGUUCCAUUUUCCACCUGUACUCUGCUCUGGGAAGUGCAACCUUUAUUUCUCCUUCAUGUUUUUAAAGUCACCUUCUUAAUUCUGGUAGAACAUAACUCAAACAACUGAAAAUGUUAGGAAUGGAUUUACAGUCCCUCUGGCUACUCUCUAUCUGGGAUGGAAAAGAAAGUGAAGCUGGAGAUAACUUUUCCUGCCAUCAAGGGACAUCUAUAGAGGAGAGGCAAUUAAUUGUAAUGUGCCAACUAGUUUUGAUUAUUCAGGGACUUGUGAUGGAAUUUGUGGAUUAUUCAGGUCCCUGGUUUUCUGUUUUGGCUAAUUUCACUGCUCAGUGGCACCUCCAGAGGUCAGGGACAGCUAUUCUCCUAUGGAGUGUCCCCAGAGAGACAGUGGCAAAGGAACCACCCCCUUUUGAGCAACUACUCUGUGUCAGACACAGGGAGGAUUUUUUUUUAACAUUUGUAGUCUUUCAUUAAUUUCACAACAAACCUCCAUUCUAUUUUACAGACAGUAAAAACUCAGUGUAAUUCAUUCAUUUCUCAAAUCUCUAUCAAGUGUAUUCUGUGUGCUAGUCCCUGGGAUAAAACAGUGAAUGAAAGAGAUGGGUCCCGGCUUUCUCUGAGCUUAGGAUGCAGGAAGGAAAAAAAAUAAAGUAGACAAAUCAUCAAAUAUAUAAAAUAUAAAAUUACAAACAGUGAUAUAUGUAAUGAAUGAAAAUUUUAAGGGAUCACAAAAUUUGUAAACAGGGGAUCUGAUCCAGUUGUGGAGUCAGAGAUGGCGUCCCUGAGGGCAUAAGCCUCUGCACUGGUGAUUGAAGAAUGGAAUAGAAGCUGUCAAAGCUUGCACGGCGAGCCCACAGCAGAGCUGGGAUUCAAACUCAGGUCUGCCUGACACCAGACUCUCUCUGUAUUGCACUACUACAGACAGUUGAAACUAUGCCCUGACAGGGAGACCUUUGACUCCCAGCCCCUAGCCCUGCUCCACCAGCUGCCCCAGAGAUGCCGUGUCCGUGGGAGUUGGUGAUGGUGGAUUGGAAGCUGAAGAGCUCCUGUGGUUUCUCAGCAAGUUUAACUGGCAAUAUGAAGGAGCCCUCACUCUCUGUGCAUUCUUUCCAUUUUCUUCAUGGUUCUGUCUAGAUUGGAUUUCGGCACUGGCAGGAGGGGUGUCCUUCUGGCAUGACUCCUGAUGGGGUUGUGUGGCUAAUUUCAAACAUUGGGAGGGGCUUGAUUAAUGACCAGCCCAAACCAGAGUUCAGAAACAUUGCCUGGAGCCUCUGUAAAACUCCCCAGAUCCUGCCUCCUUGUCUACCUCCCUUUACUCAACCCUGCCUCCCCUGAUCUAAAGCCAUCUUAGAGAUUGGCUACCUGCCUGAAAAACUCCCUGACCUGCUGAGGAACUGCAGCAGGGAGUCCUGUUAGCAGCUGUGGGAGGGUUGGAGUCUGACCAGAACAUUCCUCGCUCAUGUUUCCACCCACUCCGUGUCUGCAGGGUGAAAUGCCCCAUUGGAUGCGGUGGCCACCCCAGAGCUGCACCUUCUAGCUGGAUACAGGGAUAGGAGUGGUUGGGAUUGAAG